AACGUAGGUGGCGAGCGUUAUCCGGAUUUACUGGGCGUAAAGCGUGUGUAGGCGGCCAUGUAAGUCAGGUGUGAAAGCCCCGGGCUCAACCCGGGAAGUGCAUUUGAUACUGCGUGGCUUGAGUAUCGGAGAGGUUGGUGGAAUUCUCGGUGUAGAGGUGAAAUUCGUAGAUAUCGAGAGGAACACCGGUGGCGAAGGCGGCCAACUGGACGAAUACUGACGCUGAGACACGAAAGCGUGGGGAGCAAACAGG
Molecule: ribosomal RNA, 253 nt
Filed under: uncultured bacterium
Lineage: Bacteria
Description: partial 16S ribosomal RNA
Rfam family: Bacterial small subunit ribosomal RNA
Source: RNAcentral